Non-coding RNA from Chelonoidis abingdonii (Abingdon island giant tortoise), 473 nucleotides. NCBI's taxonomy places the organism in Eukaryota, Metazoa, Chordata, Testudines, Testudinidae. The record is from RefSeq and is a predicted model, not a curated record.
UCUCCCACAUUCCAAGCAAAUGCUCUAACCACUCAGCUAAAAGUUAUAAGAUGGGUACUACCAUUGCUGGUACCACCCAUUUUGUGUGGCUGAAGCAGGCACCUAACUCAUUCUCUCAAGGAAUAGCUUAGGCACCUAGGCCACUGCUGAGUUACCUUUCAUGGACUGCAAAACAGAGAUAGGCACAGCCUGGAUUUAGGCACCUAUUUCAGAGAGAGGCAGAUUUUAGCACACAUCCCUGUCAUCAGCAUCUCCCAUUGCCUAGCUUAGGUGACUCCCCAUCUAUUAUACUGGCUUCUGUGAAUCACACUAUUAGCUGCUUAAUAUCUCUCCCCAUUCAGUGUACAAGGAACCUAAGCACCUAAUUCAGGCUGUUAGCAUUGUCCCUGUGGUUGUCUAGGUACCUAAAAGUUAAGUGCUGUGACACUCAGCAUUGAAACAUCUAAAGUCCCUUUGUUCAUCAAAAGGGCAAU